RNAcentral lists this ribosomal RNA (37 nucleotides) under Ampelomyces quisqualis. Its description in RNAcentral is "partial 18S ribosomal RNA". The record is from RNAcentral. Lineage: Eukaryota; Fungi; Ascomycota; Dothideomycetes; Pleosporales; Phaeosphaeriaceae.
CCUUCCGUAGGUGAACCUGCGGAAGGAUCAUUACAUU